RNAcentral lists this ribosomal RNA (253 nucleotides) under uncultured bacterium. RNAcentral's name for it is "partial 16S ribosomal RNA". It matches the Rfam family "Bacterial small subunit ribosomal RNA", at positions 524 to 776 of the family's 1533-position model. The record is from RNAcentral.
UACAGAGGGUGCAAGCGUUGUUCGGAAUUACUGGGCGUAAAGCGCGCGCAGGCGGCUUUUUAAGUCAGGGGUGAAAUCCCGGGGCUUAAGUCAGGAAUUGCCUUGGGUACUGGAAGGCUGGAGGACGGGAGAGGUGAGUGGAAUUCCCGGUGUAGAGGUGAAAUUCGUAGAUAUCGGGAGGAACACCAGUGGCGAAGGCGGCUCACUGGACUGUAUCUGACGCUCAGGCGCGAAAGCGUGGGGAGCAAACAGG